Molecule: long non-coding RNA, 709 nt
Organism: Scophthalmus maximus (turbot)
Lineage: Eukaryota; Metazoa; Chordata; Actinopteri; Pleuronectiformes; Scophthalmidae
Exons: 4
Source: RefSeq, a predicted model, not a curated record
CACAAUGCAACGCCGCGCGUACUCUGGAGACCCUUUUUUUUUUUUUUUUUACACACCUGAAACUCGGUGAGGCCUGUGGUUUCGACAGGAGUCGCGUUUGCUGAUAAGCAAACACACACACAGGCACAGUGAGGCGACAAAAACACACAGAUGACUGCAUCGCAGCUGAAUUUGGCUGCUGAGACGUCGUGCUCUGACCGUAGCUGUUACGGUGGCUUUCAUCCACAGUUGGCAGCUUCAUCCUCCUCCUCCUGGCGUCCAUUCAAUUCCUCUCUGAGGCCUGUUUGAUUCAAACGAGGCCACGGCGGCGGGUCAUUCCUCUGUGGGCCAUGUGACGCUGCAACAGUCUGUGAAGCAGCCACAGUCGUAGACACAGUCGCAGACAGUAUACAAAGGUGGAACAGUUUGUGUAAGAAGAUACAGACGAUGUCAUCAUGGGGAUUUUUUUUUCAGUAAUUCCAACAGAACUGAAUAUCUACUAAUAUCUAAAUGAAGCAUCAUCUGCAAGAGGAGUGACGGCGAGAGCAAUGCAACGAGAAGAGGCUACGUACCGUGCUCCUCGGCUCCGCAGCGCACCGACCGACCGACCGACCCUCGCCCCUCAGAUCGGCAGAGGAGCGAACAGCGCCGCAGUCUCCGUGGACGCUGCCAGAGAGCGACGCUGCACUGGACACUGACUGGCACCAACUUUGGGAAUCAUCCAGCCCGC